Molecule: ribosomal RNA, 375 nt
Filed under: uncultured bacterium
Lineage: Bacteria
Description: bacterial SSU rRNA
Rfam family: Bacterial small subunit ribosomal RNA
Source: RNAcentral
UAAGACGAAGGGGGCAAGCGUUGUUCGGAAUUACUGGGCGUAAAGGGCGCGUAGGCGGCCGAGUAAGUCAGGUGUGAAAGCCCUGGGCUCAACCUGGGAGUGGCACUUGAUACUGUUUGGCUAGAGAGUGGGAGAGGUUGGUGGAAUUCCCAGUGUAGAGGUGAAAUUCGUAGAUAUUGGGAAGAACACCGGUGGCGAAGGCGGCCAACUGGACCAUUUCUGACGCUGAGGCGCGAAAGCGUGGGGAGCAAACAGGAUUAGAUACCCUGGUAGUCCACGCUGUAAACGAUGAGUGCUGGACGUUGCGGAGCUUGCUCUGCGGUGUCGUAGCUAACGCGCUAAGCACUCCGCCUGGGGAGUACGGCCGCAAGGUUG